AUGGAGCCCCUUCGGCCCUGCCCGGGAGGCAUGCACUGCAUGACCACGGACGCCGACGAGAGCCGGUGGUGCUGGCUGCCUUUCUCCGGCUCCUCGCGGUGCUUCUGGAGCGCAGACCCUGACUCGCCCCCCUUCUUCCCCGAGGCGAUGGUGGCGCACGCGGAGGCCGGGCGCGCCAUCUUCGUGUCCGCGAGCGGGUUUCACGACGACGUCCGGACCUUCUCCUACGACAGGACGAGCAGCACGUGGACGCGCUGCGGCGGCUGGGCGCUGCCGUUCGUAGGCCGCGCCGGCUAUGACGGCGAGCUGGACGCCUGGGUGGGGCUCCACCGCAAGGGCUACGACACGGACGGGCACCUCUGUGUCUGCCGCGUUCCAGUUCCGACGAGCGACCUCGACCGGACCCCGCAACCGCAGUGGAAGGUCGGCGGGGAGAAGGUGCUCCUCCAGCACCCGGACUGGAGGCACGUCGACGCCAAGCUCGUGCACAUGGCGGAGCGCGGCGAGCACUGCCUCGUCGAGCGCCUGCGACGCGAGGGGACGGACGAGAAAGAGCGCCUGCCCAACGGCGACGAGUGCCUGCUCCGACUGACCACGUUUCAAGUCAGGUACGGUGACGACGGGGAGCUCAUCACGACCGCGGACCGUCGGUACGGCCGCUUUUACAAGGUGUCGAGGUACCGCGAUGGCUUUGAGGUUGCAGCGUUCUGGAUAUGA
Molecule: ribosomal RNA, 717 nt
Filed under: Triticum aestivum (bread wheat)
Lineage: Eukaryota; Viridiplantae; Streptophyta; Magnoliopsida; Poales; Poaceae
Description: partial small subunit ribosomal RNA
Source: RNAcentral